This 904-nucleotide ribosomal RNA is filed under the name Pseudotomentella larsenii. Its description in RNAcentral is "partial large subunit ribosomal RNA". It matches the Rfam family "Eukaryotic large subunit ribosomal RNA", at positions 72 to 961 of the family's 3401-position model. The record is from RNAcentral. Lineage: Eukaryota; Fungi; Basidiomycota; Agaricomycetes; Thelephorales; Thelephoraceae.
GGAUUCCCCUAGUAACUGCGAGUGAAGCGGGAAAAGCUCAAAUUUAAAAUCUGGCGUGCCUCUGGUCGUCCGAGUUGUAGUCUGGAGAAGCGUUUUCCGUGCUGGACCGUGUACAAGUCCCUUGGAACAGGGCGUCAUAGAGGGUGAGAAUCCCGUCUUUGACACGGACUACCAGUGCUUUGUGAUGCGCUCUCAAAGAGUCGAGUUGUUUGGGAAUGCAGCUCAAAAUGGGUGGUAAAUUCCAUCUAAAGCUAAAUACAGGCGAGAGACCGAUAGCGAACAAGUACCGUGAGGGAAAGAUGAAAAGCACUUUGGAAAGAGAGUUAAACAGUACGUGAAAUUGCUGAAAGGGAAACGCUUGAAGUCAGUCGCGUCUGCCGGGACUCAGCCUUGCUUCUGCUUGGUGCAUUUUCCGGUCGACGGGCCAGCAUCGAUUUCGACCGUUGGAAAAAGGUUGAGGGAAUGUGGCAUCUUCGGGUGUGUUAUAGCCCUCAGUCGUAUGCAACGGUUGGGAUCGAGGACCGCAGCACGCCUUUAUGGCCGGGGUUCGCCCACGUUCGUGCUUAGGAUGCUGGCGUAAUGGCUUUAAGCGACCCGUCUUGAAACACGGACCAAGGAGUCUAACAUGCCUGCGAGUGUUUGGGUGUAAAACCCGAGCGCACAAUGAAAGUGAUAGUUGAGACCUCUGUCAUGGAGGGCAUCGACGCCCGGACUUGAUCUACGGAGACGGUUCCGCGGUAGAGCAUGUAUGUUGGGACCCGAAAGAUGGUGAACUAUGCCUGAAUAGGGUGAAGCCAGAGGAAACUCUGGUGGAGGCUCGUAGCGAUUCUGACGUGCAAAUCGAUCGUCAAAUUUGGGUAUAGGGGCGAAAGACUAAUCGAACCAUCUAGUAGCUGGUUCCUGC